Molecule: long non-coding RNA, 3682 nt
Organism: Otolemur garnettii (small-eared galago)
Lineage: Eukaryota; Metazoa; Chordata; Mammalia; Primates; Galagidae
Exons: 6
Source: RefSeq, a predicted model, not a curated record
AGGUGUAUGUGGCUCGUGCCUUAGCCACUUGAGCCACAGGCGCCAAGUCUUCCCCUGCUUUAUUACUUGGUACGGAGGGAACUAUGGAUCACGCUCUUGCCCGCUGGCUUCUGCAUGGUUUGGCCACUGGGGGGGGGCAAUAAUAAAAGCUUGGUGGGCAGUAGGAGCAUCGCAAAGCUGGGGAAUCCCUCCCCUUCCCUUUGCUUCCUGUGGCAUCUUCUUCCUGAUCUCAGCACCCUCUGAAUCUGGAAUUAUCCUAGUUAACAAUGAGGGAGCUUCCUUGAACACCUCCAUGUCUUAAGUGCUUUAAUGGGUUGAUCUUAUUUAAUCCAUUUAACAACCCUAUGAAGUGGAUACUGCAAUCAUUAGCCCCAUUUUACAGGUGAGAGCACUGAGUCUCAGAGUGGUUACUGCCAUCCCACGCCUAGUCAGUGGUGUAGCCGGAUUGUCAAACAAGCAUCUGACUCCAGAGUCCCAGCUCAUUUUACUCACCAAGGUGUGUGUGUGUUACACAGGGGGUCUUUGUGUGGCAGGCUCAAGCCUUGCUCUAAUUAGUAAACCACAACCCUGACCACUGGGCAGAGCUGCCCCCAAAGGCGGUAGCCGUUAACAGGUUUUGACAGACACAACUGGCUGGGCCUGAGAGAGAUUCUGCAGCUUUGAUGGGAGACAGGAUCCCAUCCGGGCAGUUCCAGGAGAGAGCUGGCUUUGCUUUGAACAGGUAACUCAAUAGAAAGGAGAAGAAAAAGUGGAGGGGUGGUGGGAGGGGAGAGGCGGGGAGAGGAAGUCCCCUGUUUCACAGAGCCCAGCCCUGAGAAGACACUCUCUGAUGACCAGGGGAAGGGCUUUGAAAAGUGGAGGGCAGCACCUCAAACCCCGCUCCCUGAAAGUGGGGGUGGAUCCCGACAGAAAUCACAUGGGGACCCCUGCUGUGGAGCCGGGGAGGCUGGAAAGGAGUUCAGGUGAUAAAAAAAAAAAAAAAAAGAUGUUAAUAGAGGACUGUGAUGCAUCUGUCUGUAAUUCCAGUCUCCGAAUUCCCAGUUGGAAACCCUGGGGAAAGAGUGCCAGCAGGCUGCUGCGGCCACCGGCCUGCCAGACUCUGCUCGCCCGAAGUGGUGCUCAGAGCAGGGGCUCCUUUGUUAGUUGUGAUGUGAGAGUUGCCGUGAGAAGCAUGGCUGACUGGACAUCUUGGUGCAAACGCACAUCUCUUUAACUCCCUCCUUCUCCCAGAUGCCUGAAUCAUUUACUGGCCCACAAACAUGGGGUGUCUAUUAUGCCUCUGGUUGAGAAAGAGGAACCCCCUGGGUGCUUCCAGUCUAUUCUUCAAGAAGAACAUUUUAGAACACAAAAAUCGGGUCAUGCCACUUCCCUGCUGAAAUCCUUUCAUGCCUUCCUAUUGUGCUCAGACAAAAAUUCAACCCCCUUCCUCGGCCACCCAGCCCCUGUGUGAUCUGGCCCUUGCCUCAGGCAGCCUCACUUCGGACCAUUGUGCCUGCCAUUCAGUGGCCAAACAGCUGCUGCCCAUCACCACCACAGGGCCUUUGCACAUUCCUUUCCCUCUUCUGGCACCUCCCUUCAGGCUGCUCUUCGUAAGCCUGGCCCCUCCAUGUUCUCUGGCUUCAGGUACAUGCCAGGUGGCAGGCAUUUCUCUUCAGAAACAGGUCUAUUCUUUUCUCUCUCGACAUCCUUUAUGGUAAUCCGACUACGUGUAAUGAUUUAUUGCCUGUCCUGUUCGUUGGCUUCUUCAGCCCCCUCCCUGGAUGCAGAGACCUCGUCUGUUGUGAAUGAGCCCCUUCUCAGUGUCCAAGCACAGGAAGGGUGCUCGGUGGCUCUUCAUGGAAUCCGUGACUGGCUGAAACACAGAGCAGAGCUGGAAGCUGCUGCAGGAGGCGUGGGAGCUGCUGGGGUCCCGGAGGGCUGGGGACACAGUGUCAGCAAGUAGGAGCUGGCUGGCAAAAGAAGGGGAGACUCUGGCCAAAGGGGACCUCUGCCGAUCUGCUUCCAGGGGUUCCUGAUCUGUCUACGGGUGUCUGACCCUCCACUGGCAAACCCUGUGUGUGGUAGGUGUGGGCGCAGGUCAGCUUUGCCACCUUUGUUUCAUUUGGGUCAAUUUCCAGGGCUGAGGACACCAGCUCCUUCUGUAUUUCAUUCUUGCCCCCUUUUUGCAUCUGUGUGACGGCAACGAAGCCAUGUGUGGUGACUCCGCUAUCCCACCACGUUUUCACCUGUACUGAGAUGGUGCCGGCGAAGCCGCAGCAAAAGACAGGACGAACACACAAAGGAAAGACGCCCCGGUGUGCACACACACAGGCACGCACGGGGCGCAACUGGUGUAUAUUUUUAAACGCUACGUGUGCAUGUGUUGUUUAGACACACAUAACCAGUGGAAGAACUGAGAACCGUAAUCAGGUGUGUUGGGAAGGAGCGGCGAGCGGUGGGAGAGUUUUCGAGUAAGCUGAGUCUUCCUAUAUCCAGCCAGAAGGUCAAGUGCACAGUCAAUAAAGCAAAUGGUGACAAAAGCAGGUUAUUCAGAGACAUGGAAGUGACGACCAGCAGAACUAAACCCAGAAAUGAUUUAAAAAAUUAAAAUGCAGUGUGCUAUCCCAUGGUUUAAUGUGAUGUUUAAAUAUAUACCAUAUCUUUUAUAGUAUUAAUACACAACUUGUUUUUCUUUCAUAAGAGACAAAGACAGAUGCAAUUGCAGCAGGAAGAGGGGGAUAGUGAGAAGGAACGUGCCAAUGCCACUUAAAAAUCCCAAGUCCAGACUGCACGUGUCUCCGGGUUCACCUCUCCCAGGUCGCUCAGGCUAGUUGCACAGACCAUUGUUUUUCUGGCAAGUUUGCGCUGGUCUUGCCCCAACGCUGUGCUCCUGGGAGUAUCUUACAUCCCGACAGCCAUGUGACUCCAACAUCUUCCUUCACCAUCUGAUGCUAAAUGACAUGUUGGAAUAGAGUCGUGAUAUUCAAGUUGCGCCUGGCAGUUUGAAAGCUGCUUUCUCAUGCCUCAUCUCAUUUGCUGCUGGCCACAACCCAGUAAGACAACUGGGAUGAAGGAGGACAGAGAAUUUCUGAAAUGCGAACAUGCCUCUGCAGCCUCUAUCAACUCUGACUUCAGAGGGAAACUGGAGACACAGGUUUGGAGGACGCAGGAUACACACUCCAUGUCCGGGCUGCGUGGAUGGCCCUGAGCACAGAAGAUCCAUCACCCUCAGCUCGGACGCACAGCAGGCGCCAAGGAGCAGGCAGCAAGCUGGAUAGUGUCCCAGUGAGCCUCCAGUGGCUCCCUGGCUCACUCAGGGUGAGUGCCACAGUUCCCUGCGUGACCCACCCGUCCCGCCUCGACCUCACCCCGGGGUUUCCUGCCCUUGCUUGCUCUCUGCCAGCCAGACCAGCCUUCUGCUCUUCCUCAGAGGCCCCGGGCACGUCCUCGUGAUGUCAGUCCCAGGGAGGCGCUGGCCUCUGACGCCUGCCUGAAGAGCACCCUGCUCUGUCGCUCCCGGAGCUCUUCCUUCUGACGGAUUCUGCCUGCAACUCCACGCUCCGCCUGUCACUGUGCACCUGUCUCCCAUCUUCCUCAUGUGCCUACAAGCACAGGACCAUGUCUGCCCACACAGCUGUUACCUUCUGUCUCAAAAUGUCUCCUCAGGAUUUUAAUUUAUGGAAGUGAGUCGUCAAUUCAGAGG